AUUCUGAGGAAGUCCUAUAGCCUGUGUUAUAGAUGAUCAGUGGUUCCUUCUGGCCUUGGAAUCAUGAAAAUGAGGGUCAUAUAACUGUUGAAACAUGCCUGCAUUAAUUAAGGAGUUUUGCAUGUGACUGAGGGCAUCUGGCCCUAACUAUGUUAAAUAGCAUGAAGCGUGUGAUUUAAACCUACAAAAUUCAAGAAAUUCAGCUAAGGAUGCUGCCCACUCAUACACGAUUCAGAUUCAGUAGGAGGCAGGAUGCUCUUUACUCUUCAGCAACCAGUCUGGAGAACAGAGAAGGAAGACAGCAGCAGUAUAUGAACUUGGGGACUUUGCAUCUGCUGCUUGGACUACACGUGAGGUGCUAUUGCCAGGAGAAUAGAGCUGAGAUGUGAGCAUCGGAAUGAACAGGGUCUGCUCUCCUAAAUUUCCAGUUCCUGAGGCCUAUCAAACAACUAGUGUGAGGGGCAGUGCCUGCUACCUGCUUCAGGAACACCCUGGGUGGGAACUGGGCCUGGUGGCUGCUCCUGGAAUAUCCCAUAGGUCAGUAGCAAGUUUUUUUGCACUUGGCACCAAAGUAAUAAUGGGUGGUAGGGUAAAGGGAUGACAAGACUUGUUUCCUAGCAGGAAGAGGGACAUAUUUAAGCCCAGAAAUUUUUGGAGAUUUUUGCUGGGUAGGGUACCAACCUUUACAAAUUCUGCUUUAUCACUGGCACUUAACAACUAUGACUAAGUAUUUACUUAAAAAAAAUUAUCUCCCUUUGCAAACUGUUAGUACUCACUGUGCCUUCUCUUAAAAUCACAGCAGCUAGAGUUUAUGCCACAAAUUGGCAACAAAGAUUAUCUCUCUGGCUACAAGAUGAACCACACUUGCCUGUUCAGAGUAGCAGGUUCAAAGCACUAGCCCAGCUGCGGAGAGUUAAUUCCCCACAGAAUGCUAUAGAAGAGGGGAGUGCUGUGAAGAAUUUUGGCUAUGUCGGAGAGGGAAGAACCCAUGGAGGGUGGUGGCUCUGCUUGGGAUAUUCUGUGGAAUUUGGCAGGAAUAAGCUAUACUUUAGACUUGACUGAAGCAAGUAAUGCCUUAUAUCUUUAGGCUCAGAGAGGAGCCAUAACAAGCCAGGGCAAGAUCCAGGAAGCAUGAUCUUUCCAUUGCAGCUCUUGGUCCUUGCCUUUGUAUGAGGGGUGGAAAGUUCUUUGUAUGCUUUCCUCACCUUGCUGUUCCCCAAUACCAAUAUACUCACACUAGGCUAGAAAUGAUCUUGCCUUUAAUUUGGAUUUUGGCUGAGAGGAAACCCUGUUAUCUUUUUGUUUGGCCCAGAAGGGGCAUGAUAUUCUUUUAAUGUUUACUCUUCUCUUUUACAAUUAAGCACAUAAUAAAAAUGUUUAAACUCCAGUAAAGAAUGCA
Molecule: long non-coding RNA, 1399 nt
Filed under: Chrysemys picta bellii (western painted turtle)
Lineage: Eukaryota; Metazoa; Chordata; Testudines; Emydidae
Description: lncRNA (ENSCPBG00000015887.1)
Source: RNAcentral